RNAcentral lists this ribosomal RNA (465 nucleotides) under uncultured bacterium. RNAcentral's name for it is "partial 16S ribosomal RNA". It matches the Rfam family "Bacterial small subunit ribosomal RNA", at positions 39 to 507 of the family's 1533-position model. The record is from RNAcentral.
GGGGGGGGGGGGGGGCGGGCUGGACAGGUGGGGGUCGAGGGGAGAGGGGCGUGCGUGCGGGGGUGCUGGAGUGGCGAGCGGGUGAGGAGCGCGGGGGUGAUGUGCCCUGCACUUGGGGAUAAGCGGGGGGAACUGGGGCUAAUAACGGAUGGGACCGCGUGUGGGUGGGUGUGGUGGAAAGUUUUUCGGUGUGGGAUGAGCUCGCGGCCUAUCAGCGUGUUGGUGGGGUAAUGGCCUACCAAGGCGUCGACGGGUAGCCGGCCUGAGAGGGUGUACGGCCGCAUUGGGACUGAGAUACGGCCCAGACUCCUACGGGAGGCAGCAGUGGGGAAUAUUGCACAAUGGGCGCAAGCCUGAUGCAGCGACGCCGCGUGGGGGAUGACGGCCUUCGUGUUGUAAACUCCUUUCGCUAGGGACGAAGCGCAAGUGACGUUACCUGGAGAAGAAGCACCGGCUAACUACGUG